Molecule: non-coding RNA, 72 nt
Organism: Trichonephila clavipes
Lineage: Eukaryota; Metazoa; Arthropoda; Arachnida; Araneae; Nephilidae
Source: the annotation of a GenBank genome assembly
GUUCCUGUAGCGCAAGAAUAGCGCAUUGGGCUUCUAAUCCAAAGGUCAUGGGUUCGAAUCCCACCUGGGAUG